RNAcentral lists this ribosomal RNA (2934 nucleotides) under Priestia megaterium. RNAcentral describes it as "bacterial LSU rRNA". It matches the Rfam family "Bacterial large subunit ribosomal RNA". Lineage: Bacteria; Bacillati; Bacillota; Bacilli; Caryophanales; Bacillaceae. The record is from RNAcentral.
UUAAGUUAGAAAGGGCGCACGGUGAAUGCCUUGGCACUAGGAGCCGAUGAAGGACGGGACUAACACCGAUAUGCUUCGGGGAGCUGUAAGUGAGCUUUGAUCCGGAGAUUUCCGAAUGGGGAAACCCACUGUUCGUAAUGGAGCAGUAUCUUUAUCUGAAUACAUAGGAUAUUGAAGGCAGACCCGGGGAACUGAAACAUCUAAGUACCCGGAGGAAGAGAAAGCAAAUGCGAUUUCCUGAGUAGCGGCGAGCGAAACGGAAUUAGCCCAAACCAAGAGGCUUGCCUCUUGGGGUUGUAGGACACUCUAUACGGAGUUACAAAGGAACGAAGUAAAUGAAGCGACCUGGAAAGGUCCGUCGAAGAAGGUAACAACCCUGUAGUUGAAACUUCGUUCCCUCUUGAGUGGAUCCUGAGUACGGCGGAACACGUGAAAUUCCGUCGGAAGCUGGGAGGACCAUCUCCCAAGGCUAAAUACUACCUAGUGACCGAUAGUGAACCAGUACCGUGAGGGAAAGGUGAAAAGCACCCCGGAAGGGGAGUGAAAGAGAUCCUGAAACCGUGUGCCUACAAGUAGUCAGAGCCCGUUAACGGGUGAUGGCGUGCCUUUUGUAGAAUGAACCGGCGAGUUACGAUCCCAUGCAAGGUUAAGCUGAUAAGGCGGAGCCGUAGCGAAAGCGAGUCUGAAUAGGGCGUUUAGUAUGUGGUUGUAGACCCGAAACCAGGUGAUCUACCCAUGUCCAGGGUGAAGUUCAGGUAACACUGAAUGGAGGCCCGAACCCACGCACGUUGAAAAGUGCGGGGAUGAGGUGUGGGUAGCGGAGAAAUUCCAAUCGAACCUGGAGAUAGCUGGUUCUCUCCGAAAUAGCUUUAGGGCUAGCCUCAUGUUGUGAGAGUCUUGGAGGUAGAGCACUGAUUGGACUAGGGGCCCCCAACGGGUUACCGAAUUCAGUCAAACUCCGAAUGCCAAAGACUUAUCCAUGGGAGUCAGACUGCGAGUGAUAAGAUCCGUAGUCAAAAGGGAAACAGCCCAGACCACCAGCUAAGGUCCCCAAGUAUACGUUAAGUGGAAAAGGAUGUGGAGUUGCUUAGACAACCAGGAUGUUGGCUUAGAAGCAGCCACCAUUUAAAGAGUGCGUAAUAGCUCACUGGUCGAGUGACUCUGCGCCGAAAAUGUACCGGGGCUAAACGUAUCACCGAAGCUGUGGAUUGACAUCUUUGAUGUCAGUGGUAGGAGAGCGUUCUAAGUGCUGUGAAGUCAGACCGGAAGGACUGGUGGAGCGCUUAGAAGUGAGAAUGCCGGUAUGAGUAGCGAAAGACAAGUGAGAAUCUUGUCCACCGAAUGCCUAAGGUUUCCUGAGGAAGGCUCGUCCGCUCAGGGUUAGUCGGGACCUAAGCCGAGGCUGAAAAGCGUAGGCGAUGGCCAACAGGUUGAUAUUCCUGUACCACCUCCCCGCCGUUUGAGUAAUGGGGGGACGCAGUAGGAUAGGGUAAGCGCGCUGCUGGAUAUGCGCGUUCAAGCAGUUAGGCUGAUGAGUAGGCAAAUCCGCUCAUCAUAAAGGCUGAGCUGUGAUGACGAGGGAAUUAUAGUACCGAAGUUCCUGAUUCCACACUGCCAAGAAAAGCCUCUAGCGAGGCGGGAGGUGCCCGUACCGCAAACCGACACAGGUAGGCGAGGAGAGAAUCCUAAGGUGAUCGAGAGAACUCUCGUUAAGGAACUCGGCAAAAUGACCCCGUAACUUCGGGAGAAGGGGUGCUCUGGUAGGGUGUAUAGCCCGAGAGAGCCGCAGUGAAUAGGCCCAGGCGACUGUUUAGCAAAAACACAGGUCUCUGCGAAGCCGCAAGGCGAAGUAUAGGGGCUGACGCCUGCCCGGUGCUGGAAGGUUAAGAGGAGGGGUUAUCCUUCGGGAGAAGCUCUGAAUCGAAGCCCCAGUAAACGGCGGCCGUAACUAUAACGGUCCUAAGGUAGCGAAAUUCCUUGUCGGGUAAGUUCCGACCCGCACGAAAGGCGUAACGAUCUGGGCACUGUCUCAACGAGAGACUCGGUGAAAUUAUAGUACCUGUGAAGAUGCAGGUUACCCGCGACAGGACGGAAAGACCCCGUGGAGCUUUACUGUAGCCUGAUAUUGAAUUUUGGUACAGCUUGUACAGGAUAGGUAGGAGCCUGAGAAGCCGGAGCGCUAGCUUCGGUGGAGGCGUCGGUGGGAUACUACCCUGGCUGUAUUGAAAUUCUAACCCGCGGCCCUGAUCGGGCCGGGAGACAGUGUCAGGUGGGCAGUUUGACUGGGGCGGUCGCCUCCUAAAAUGUAACGGAGGCGCCCAAAGGUUCCCUCAGAAUGGUUGGAAAUCAUUCGUAGAGUGUAAAGGCACAAGGGAGCUUGACUGCGAGACCUACAAGUCGAGCAGGGACGAAAGUCGGGCUUAGUGAUCCGGUGGUUCCGCAUGGAAGGGCCAUCGCUCAACGGAUAAAAGCUACCCCGGGGAUAACAGGCUUAUCUCCCCCAAGAGUCCACAUCGACGGGGAGGUUUGGCACCUCGAUGUCGGCUCAUCGCAUCCUGGGGCUGUAGUCGGUCCCAAGGGUUGGGCUGUUCGCCCAUUAAAGCGGUACGCGAGCUGGGUUCAGAACGUCGUGAGACAGUUCGGUCCCUAUCCGUCGUGGGCGUAGGAAAUUUGAGAGGAGCUGUCCUUAGUACGAGAGGACCGGGAUGGACACACCGCUGGUGUACCAGUUGUCUUGCCAAAGGCAUCGCUGGGUAGCUAUGUGUGGACGGGAUAAGUGCUGAAAGCAUCUAAGCAUGAAGCCCCCCUCAAGAUGAGAUUUCCCAUAGCGCAAGCUAGUAAGAUCCCUGAAAGAUGAUCAGGUUGAUAGGUCAGAGGUGGAAGCGUGGCGACAUGUGUAGCUGACUGAUACUAAUCGAUCGAGGACUUAACCAA